Molecule: ribosomal RNA, 579 nt
Filed under: Neofusicoccum parvum
Lineage: Eukaryota; Fungi; Ascomycota; Dothideomycetes; Botryosphaeriales; Botryosphaeriaceae
Description: eukaryotic LSU rRNA
Rfam family: 5.8S ribosomal RNA (bases 212-365)
Source: RNAcentral
UUUCCGAUAGGUGAACCUGCGGAAGGAUCAUUACCGAGUUGAUUCGAGCUCCGGCUCGACUCUCCCACCCAAUGUGUACCUACCUCUGUUGCUUUGGCGGGCCGCGGUCCUCCGCACCGGCGCCCUUCGGGGGGCUGGCCAGCGCCCGCCAGAGGACCAUAAAACUCCAGUCAGUGAACUUCGCAGUCUGAAAAACAAGUUAAUAAACUAAAACUUUCAACAACGGAUCUCUUGGUUCUGGCAUCGAUGAAGAACGCAGCGAAAUGCGAUAAGUAAUGUGAAUUGCAGAAUUCAGUGAAUCAUCGAAUCUUUGAACGCACAUUGCGCCCCUUGGUAUUCCGAGGGGCAUGCCUGUUCGAGCGUCAUUUCAACCCUCAAGCUCUGCUUGGUAUUGGGCCCCGUCCUCCACGGACGCGCCUUAAAGACCUCGGCGGUGGCGUCUUGCCUCAAGCGUAGUAGAAAACACCUCGCUUUGGAGCGCACGGCGUCGCCCGCCGGACGAACCUUUGAAUUAUUUCUCAAGGUUGACCUCGGAUCAGGUAGGGAUACCCGCUGAACUUAAGCAUAUCAAUAAGCGGA